AUUGUACGCUGGCGGUAUGCUUUACACAUGCAAGUCGAACGGAUUAGGGAGCUUGCUUCCUAGUUAGUGGCGAACGGGUGAGUAAUAUAUCGGAACAUAUCCGGAAGUGGGGGAUAACGUAGCGAAAGUUACGNUAAUACCGCAUAUGCCCUGAGGGGGAAAGGGGGGGAUCGCAAGACCUCUCGCUUUCGGAGUGGCCGAUAUCGGAUUAGCUAGUAGGUGAGGUAAAGGCUCACCUAGGCGACGAUCCGUAGCUGGUCUGAGAGGACGACCAGCCACACUGGAACUGAGACACGGCCCAGACUCCUACGGGAAGCAGCAGUGGGGAAUUUUGGACAAUGGGCGCAAGCCUGAUCCAGCCAUACCGCGUGAGUGAAGAAGGCCUUCGGGUUGUAAAGCUCUUUCAGCCGGAAAGAAAUCAGUGCAGAUUAAUACUGCUAGUAUGGAGGACGGUACCGGAAGAAGAAGCAUCCGCA
RNAcentral lists this ribosomal RNA (476 nucleotides) under uncultured bacterium. RNAcentral's name for it is "bacterial SSU rRNA". It matches the Rfam family "Bacterial small subunit ribosomal RNA", at positions 30 to 498 of the family's 1533-position model. The record is from RNAcentral.